RNAcentral lists this ribosomal RNA (82 nucleotides) under uncultured bacterium. RNAcentral's name for it is "partial 16S ribosomal RNA". The record is from RNAcentral.
UCGAGCGGGAAGAAAAUGUGUGGUGGCUAAUAUCCAUCAUGCUUGACGGUACCGCUAAAGGAAGCACCGGCUAACUCCGUGC